GCCACAGUUGGAACAGGGACCUCAUCCUACAGAGAGUGUUUGUGGUCACUCAUCAACCAGAGCAUAGUGCAGGAGAGGAGUAAACACCUCUCCUUAGAUCGCAUACCUUGGAAGAAUUGAAAACUCACAGAUCCCCAGAAGUAUCUCUGAAACCAGCUCCACAAAACCCCUAAAACUUGGGACAAUGCAUCCUCCAUCCUGGAAGCACAACGAUACUUUAACAAAGAAUUAAAAGUCAACUAGCCUGGGGAAAUGAGUUUGAGGGGAUGGUGAAGUCAAGUGAUUUCUUCUGCUUCUUGUCUGACCAAUUCUUCUCAGUCUUCUUCAUAGGAUCAUCUAUGGAUAUGUAUACCCCAGAGUUUUAGCUUUAAAUCAGUGUUACAAAAUUCCAAGAAAAAGACAGUAUCCAGAAUAUGGAAUGGUUCAUACUCAACAAGGAUGAGAAUUGAGAAAAAUCCAUAAGAUUUAUUGAUAAAGAUAUUGUUGAUGACCUCAAGCAUUUCCAGUUGCAUAAUGGAGACAGAAAGCAGAUUGUAAAAAGAGGAGGUCCUUUGCCUUCUGGCUGUACAGCCAAAUAACCCAUCAGAAACCCAAAAUAAGAUUGAGUCACCAGGAUGAAAAGGGAAAUAGAUUUCAGAAAGACAUUGAUUGUCCUGAGCCAAUCUCACGGAGCUCUCAAGUGCUUUGUGCGGAGGAAGCCAACAACAUUGAUGAAUAUAAAUAGGCCAAGCAAGUGACAGACCUUGCCUCAGAGUGAUUUUCCAAGUAAAGGGGGAAGCCAAGGCCCCCCACUCCUCCUUGACCACCCUGACCCUGCAAUGAAUCAUCGCUUUCUGGUCCUGCUACACCACCAGAUUCGUUGGGAAGGAAAAGGCAGUCCACUGCCUUUUAGGGGCAAAACAUCUUCUGUAAAUGACUGAGUCGGGACUCAUUCAAAUACUCCUGGAUCUAUUCCCAAGGAUACAGUCAACAAGGCUACUUUUUGCAGUUGUAUAUGACCUUUCCUGCACAGGGCUGAAGAACUUUCUGUAUACUUUUCACAGCUGGGCUAUGAGAUAAUUCAGAGGCAGGCUUCAGCUGGCAACAGUCCACAAAACUUCAAAAUGAAUUUCAACAUUGUCAAAGUUCAAGUGGCAAACUGAGGCACAAAAGGAAUGAAAACCUUGGAUUCAGUGUCAGAUUAGUUCUUUGUGAAUUUAUUACAUAAGAAAAGUGUACUUUUCCUGAACUGACCAGAAUCUAGGGAAAAUAUCAUAGAUAGUAUUUAUCUCACACAUACUAUAUUUCAUUAAUGAGUUAAUACCUUUUACUUUUUCAUCCACAGCCAUACCUACUCUUCAUUGACCAAGGCCUAUCAUCAGUAAUUUAAUCAAUCAGUCAAUAAACAUUUAUUGUUCACCUAC
Antechinus flavipes (yellow-footed antechinus) is the source of this 1403-nucleotide long non-coding RNA. RefSeq lists it as uncharacterized. The record is from RefSeq and is a predicted model, not a curated record. The transcript has 2 exons. NCBI's taxonomy places the organism in Eukaryota, Metazoa, Chordata, Mammalia, Dasyuromorphia, Dasyuridae.